Molecule: ribosomal RNA, 497 nt
Filed under: uncultured bacterium
Lineage: Bacteria
Description: partial 16S ribosomal RNA
Rfam family: Bacterial small subunit ribosomal RNA
Source: RNAcentral
ACGAACGCUGGCGGCGUGCCUAAUACAUGCAAGUCGAGCGGACGAUUCGAAAGCUUGCUUUUGAAUCGUUAGCGGCGGACGGGUGAGUAACACGUGGGCAACCUGCCCUGUAGACGGGGAUAACACCGAGAAAUCGGUGCUAAUACCGGAUAACACGAAAUGUCGCAUGACGUUUCGUUGAAAGGCGGCGCAAGCUGCCGCUACAGGAUGGGCCCGCGGCGCAUUAGCUAGUUGGGGAGGUAACGGCUCACCAAGGCGACGAUGCGUAGCCGACCUGAGAGGGUGAUCGGCCACACUGGGACUGAGACACGGCCCAGACUCCUACGGGAGGCAGCAGUAGGGAAUCUUCCGCAAUGGACGAAAGUCUGACGGAGCAACGCCGCGUGAGCGAAGAAGGCCUUCGGGUCGUAAAGCUCUGUUGUUAGGGAAGAACAAGUAACGUAGUAACUGACGUUACUAUGACGGUACCUAACGAGAAAGCCACGGCUAACUACGUG